This 62-nucleotide transfer RNA is filed under the name Heterocephalus glaber (naked mole-rat). It matches the Rfam family "tRNA", at positions 5 to 66 of the family's 71-position model. Rfam says of the family: Transfer RNA (tRNA) molecules are approximately 80 nucleotides in length. Their secondary structure includes four short double-helical elements and three loops (D, anti-codon, and T loops). Further hydrogen bonds mediate the characteristic L-shaped molecular structure. tRNAs have two regions of fundamental functional importance: the anti-codon, which is responsible for specific mRNA codon recognition, and the 3' end, to which the tRNAs corresponding amino acid is attached (by aminoacyl-tRNA synthetases). tRNAs cope with the degeneracy of the genetic code in two manners: having more than one tRNA (with a specific anti-codon) for a particular amino acid; and 'wobble' base-pairing, i.e. permitting non-standard base-pairing at the 3rd anti-codon position. Lineage: Eukaryota; Metazoa; Chordata; Mammalia; Rodentia; Bathyergidae. The record is from Rfam by way of RNAcentral.
GUGUGGCUCAGUGGUAGAGCACUUGCCUAGCAAGUUGAAGCCCUGGGUUUGAUCCUCAGCAC